Long non-coding RNA from Oncorhynchus tshawytscha (Chinook salmon), 969 nucleotides. NCBI's taxonomy places the organism in Eukaryota, Metazoa, Chordata, Actinopteri, Salmoniformes, Salmonidae. The record is from Ensembl.
UGGGUCAUAAAGCCAUCUUCCCAUAGAAUGUAUCGUUCUAUGAUCCUACCUGCCUGGUAUAUUGGGUCAUAAAGCUGUAUCAAUACAGUUGUAUUCAUUGGGUCCUUGUCAACAGCCUCUAAUUUGACUGCACCUGCAGAUGCUCCACUAUAGAAAUACAAAACAAAGCCUCAGCAGCACGUUGUAGGAGUGAUGAACAUCACCCAGUAGUGUCAGUACUGGGAAACAUCUGCUCCCAUUACUGCUGAUCAUUCAUCCAGAUCUCUCUGAAGAACAGAGCAGCACUAGUCUAGGCCUGUCAUGAUACCAAGCAGGUCUACUAAAUGGAACUCUUAUUCCCUACAUAGUGCACUACUUUAGACCAGAACCCUAUGGUUCAUAGUGCACCCAUAGUGCACUACACAGGGAAUAAGUGCCAUUUGUGUCUCCUUCUCUAUACAGGUCAACACAGGGCCUUCUCUAUACAGGGCCUUCUCUAUACAGGGCCUUCUCUAUACAGGGCCUUCUCUAUACAGGGCCUUCUCUAUACAGGUCAACACAGGGCCUUCUCUAUACAGGGCCUUCUCUACAGGUCAACACAGGGCCUUCUCUAUACAGGUCAACACAGGGCCCUUCUCUAUACAGGUCAACACAGGGCCUUCUCUAUACAGGGCCUUCUCUAUACAGGUCAACACAGGGCCUUCUCUAUACAGGUCAACACAGGGCCCUCUCUAUACAGGUCAACACAGGGCCCUUCUCUAUACAGGUCAACACAGGGCCCUUCUCUAUACAGGUCAACACAGGGCCUUCUCUAUACAGGUCAACACAGGGCCUUCUCUAUACAGGUCAACACAGGGCCCUUCUCUAUACAGGUCAACACAGGGCCCUUCUCUAUACAGGUCAACACAGGGCCUUCUCUAUACAGGUCAACACAGGGCCCUCUCUAUACAGGUCAACACAGGGCCCUUCUCUAUACAGGUCAACACAGGG